CCAUUAGGACCCCUCACAGACGGCACCGCGACGCCCGCAGCGGCGGCGCUUCCAAAAGACUUCGUCCUUUCGGCCAGACAUUUCAAAGGGGAGAAGCGCACCACGCGCGAAGGGCGACAGACGGGAGCCCCUUCAUGUCACCCAGGGCCCGCGUUCCCGGCCGAGGGCCGGGGUUGAGGGGCACCCGGCGCCGGCUGGGCCAACGGUGCUCGCCGCUGGCGGUGAGCCCGAGAAGCGCUGCGGGGAGGCCCCACAGCAGCCCCCAGCGGCCUGAGGACCCCGGUGCAGCCGCCUCAGACCCCUCACCUCGGAGGCCUGAGGAUAUGGGUUCGUGCUUGAAACGGUUGAACGUAGUAUGAUGCCAGGCCUCUGCUCCGCAUUGGUAAACGGGGGAAGAAAAGAGUGGCCAGAGAGGAGAGUACAAACACUGAAAGGUAUUCGGAGGGCCACAUUCUGGAAAGAUCACGAGAACCAGCAUUUUGAAGUAAGGUAAACUAGAGACUUGAAUGCCUGAGAAAAAUGAACCCAUCACAGUUCCCCUCUGGAGGAUAGAACAAGUUACUGCAAGACAGAUGUGGUAACUGCAGUGAAGCCAAUGGAUUUACACCAGGUAUGAAUUAUUCCUACUACCUUUUCCUCCAUGGAAGUCUCCCAUGGAUAAGUCAUGACUGAAUAAUACAGAAUAUGGGAUUUAAUGGGCAAGCCUUCUCC
Grus americana (Whooping crane) is the source of this 711-nucleotide long non-coding RNA. RefSeq lists it as uncharacterized. NCBI's taxonomy places the organism in Eukaryota, Metazoa, Chordata, Aves, Gruiformes, Gruidae. The transcript has 3 exons. The record is from RefSeq and is a predicted model, not a curated record.